ACAGUGUGUCCUCACCCACCUAUACAUCAGGUCUAACGCCAUGUCUCUACUGAUUCUUUGCAAAGGGCAGCAGUAACAGUGGAACCAAAGACACUCACAAGCAAGGACUUCCAAAUUUGCUUUAAAAAGAGGCAAAACAGUAAGAUAAGAGUCUCUUCAUGGAGAUCUAGACCAAGACAACAACACUCAUCUAGUUAAAUACUUUGGCAAUAAAAUAUAUAAUG
Molecule: long non-coding RNA, 224 nt
Filed under: Chinchilla lanigera (long-tailed chinchilla)
Lineage: Eukaryota; Metazoa; Chordata; Mammalia; Rodentia; Chinchillidae
Description: lncRNA (ENSCLAG00000022558.1)
Source: RNAcentral